GAUGAACGCUGGCGGCGUGCCUAAUACAUGCAAGUAGAACGCUGAAGGAAGGAGCUUGCUCUUUCCGGAUGAGUUGCGAACGGGUGAGUAACGCGUAGGUAACCUGCCUGGUAGCGGGGGAUAAAUAUUGGAAACGAUAGCUAAUACCGCAUAACAGUAGAUGUUGCAUGAUAUCUACUUAAAAGGUGCAAUUGCACCACUACCAGAUGGACCUGCGUUGUAUUAGCUAGUUGGUGAGGUAACGGCUCACCAAGGCGACGAUACAUAGCCGACCUGAGAGGGUGAUCGGCCACACUGGGACUGAGACACGGCCCAGACUCCUACGGGAGGCAGCAGUAGGGAAUCUUCGGCAAUGGACGGAAGUCUGACCGAGCAACGCCGCGUGAGUGAAGAAGGUUUUCGGAUCGUAAAGCUCUGUUGUAAGAGAAGAAAGAGUGUGAGAGUGGAAAGUUCACACUGUGACGGUAUCUUACCAGAAAGGGACGGCUAACUACGUG
RNAcentral lists this ribosomal RNA (497 nucleotides) under uncultured bacterium. RNAcentral's name for it is "partial 16S ribosomal RNA". It matches the Rfam family "Bacterial small subunit ribosomal RNA", at positions 28 to 507 of the family's 1533-position model. The record is from RNAcentral.